RNAcentral lists this long non-coding RNA (4448 nucleotides) under Lynx pardinus (Iberian lynx). Lineage: Eukaryota; Metazoa; Chordata; Mammalia; Carnivora; Felidae. The record is from RNAcentral.
UGCGUUUCCAGCGGGCACUCGCGUGGCAAGACGCCAGUGGCAGGCUUCCAGCGCCCGGCCCCGGCAUGGGAAGGAGCCCUAGCGUUUCAUCCGGACCAGACCCAGCCCUCGGAAUCUAUUUUUUGCCUCCAGUUACCAGAUGUAUUGAAGUUGCCAGCAAAGUUGGGUUUUAUUCCUCUGUUUCUUCCUCCCUCCCUCCCGCGCCCCCGUCCCCCGCCGCAUUAUUUCCUUUCCUAGCGGUGCUUUGAAGAUGUGGAACUCGCCGCUCAUUCUAAUUCUAGCUUAUAACUGUUCUUGCGUGUGCGAGACGAAUGGUGGAGGGUCCCCACCCACCCACGCGAAAUCCAAAUGAAAACGCAGGGAGAGCUGUCUCCCACCCACUCACCCAGUGUCAGCCACAGCAGACGACCACAUAUUCAAAUAAGACCAAGACACGGGAGGAUGGGGUAGGGGGCGGGUUUGAGGGAGUUUAAGAUGUGAAUGGGCUGAUGGAAGGGAGAGCGCGCGCCUUAGGACGGAAUAAACAAGGGAAACACAGACAAGAAAGAUGAUGCAGAAAAUAUAUCUGCGUACCAACAUUGAAAACAGUAGGUCAGCUUUAAGUGCCUAGAUUCGGAUUGACAAUACUUCCCGGGCUCCUGUGGAAGCAGAAUGAAUGAAUGAAUGAAUGAAUGAAUGAAUGAAUUCUUAAAAAAUAAGGGAGAGAGAGAGAUAGAAUACAGGAGGCUCAGCCUUGGCCACCCAGAUGCUUUGCGUUUUGUAAGCAUCUUUGUCUAAGUGUUCCGGACUCCCAAGAAGUUAACUGGAGUUGGAAGUAAGUCAUCUCCUAGAGGGGGAAUGGAAGUCUAGACAAGAGAAACUGACAGCCAGCCGCCUCCGCUGUCACCGUCACACCCAAAUGAGCCAGAACGUCACCCACGGCGCAAACUCAGACAAUUUUCAACAGAUUCCCUUUUUCUGCAUCUCCAUUCUGGACGAAAGAAAGAAAGAAAGAAAGAAAGAAAGAAAGAAAAAGUUCUUUAAAAAUCACUUAGAGGGUAACACGUGGUUCUUGCGAAAACGGAGUUAUUUUUAAAAGAAAAAAAAAAAGUGUCUCUCCACAGGAUGGAUGUUCUAAGUUUUCUCUGCACCCUCCCGAAGCCAAUGGGAAUCUGUAAUAGCCAUUCCAAACGCCUCCGGAGAGAGGCCGACCCAGGGAGGAAAUGGGAACAGUUUCCAGCCGGCUUGGUGCAGAAUUUCGCUGUAAAUCCUUUCAGUUUGCCAAGGGGGCAGCAAAGCCUAGGGAGAGCUUGUCAAGCGGCAGAAUCCACAGGGAAGACCACAUUUUAGCACAAAUAACUCAUCUACCUGCUUUCAAAUACUCAUCUUGGUGUGCAUAAGUGUACAGGAGUAUCCACAGAAGGUUCUGUCUUUGAAACCUUAACCUGAGAUAACAGUAUAAUUAUUUCACCUUUAAGAAUACAUUUUGGUUUAAAAGAAGAAGGAACUCUGCACAGGUUUUACCUUGUCAUUUGUGCUGGUAGAAAAUGAGGAAGACUGAAAAUGUGAGACAAGGUAGCUGCCAAUGUACAGAAUUUGUAUUAUAGAUUAUCGCUGUUUGUAAGUUAUAAGGAAAUAGGGAUGCCUGGUGGUUCAGUCAGUUAAGCCCCCGACUCAAGGGUUUGAGAGGUCAAGCCCUGCACCCAGCUCUGUGCUGACAGCUGGGAGCCUGUAGCCUCUUUAGGAUUCUGUGUCCCCCUCUCUCUCUGCCCCUCACCCACUAGCACUGUCCCUCUCUCUCUCAUAAAUAAACCCUAAAAAAUAAAAACUAAAUAAAUGAUAAGGAAACAAUAUCAUCUGGAUGUGCUCCUUACUAAAGACUGUUGAUGUGACGAUCGUAAUCGGGGCGAGGAAAAUUAAGUACAAAAAAAAUAUCACAUCUAAUGUAUGAACAGAUAAGUGCAACGAGUUUCUUAACCACGUGACCCCUACAUCAGCUUUAGAAAUAUGUGCUGCUGGAGCCAGAGGAAGGAAAAAAGUAGUCAAAGUGGUUCGGGGGCUCCAGAGUGUAAUAAGUUAGCAGCCUCACAAAACCGGGAUUUUGAGGUCACUUUAUUUUUAUUAAGAAACUAUCACUAAUAUAGAAGGGUACAAGAGUAGAGAAAGAAAAAGCACAUCUGUGAAAGUAAAAAAAAAAAAAAAUCAGCUCAUUCCUUAUUGUUUGGACUUUGAUCCUCAGUGGGGUUUUUACCUCAAUUGAAAUUUGACUGCCAUUUCAAAUCUUUUAGGUCGCCCUCCGUUUAUUUGUACGCACCCCCAUCUACACACGCACAUGUACUUUGGCCUGUGUUUCUAAUACUUUGAGGAAGUAAAGCUAACACAGGAUUUGGAUUUAUAAGAUCAUGGUUUAAGCCCAAGGCACUGAAAAUUUUGAUAUCGGGUAAGCUCGGCUCUGAGCCACUGUUUACUCGUUAAUAAAAUGGCCAUAAAAAUACCUGUUCUACCAGACUCGCUGUAUGGUCACAGUAUGAGUCGGUGCAUGUGAAAAUGCUUUAGAAAGUUCAGCUGUUAUUCAGUUGUUGCCAACAAUAUUAUCAUUACAUCACACAGUCCCAGCCUUCAAAACAUUGGAAAGUUACAUCAACCUGAACAGUUUCCUCUAAUGUUAUCAUCUUACAUUACCCUGGAACGGUUAUCAAAACAAAGGAGGUAACAGAUCCCAUCUAGGAUACCACAUAGCCUUAGUCAUCGUAUCUCCUAUUCUGUGUGACAAUUCCUCCAUUUUUCCUUGUUUUUGAUGACCCUGGGAGUUUUGAAGAAUAAUGGCAGGGUAUUUUGUCUCUCAGUUCAGGUUUGUCUGAUUUAACUCUAGUUCUGGGUUCAGGGAAAGAAAAAUACCAGGGAGGUGGACUAUUGUUCUCAUCUCAUCGUAGCAGGUGGUGCAUGAUAUCAGCAUGAUGUCACUCAUGAUAACAUCAUCACUCUCUAAUGUAUCGUGUGCAAGGUUUCUCCACUAUACAAACUAUUUGUCCUUUUCCAUACUCUGUGCUUUGGAAGUGAGUCACAAGUCCUGCUGACCUUCAUGAAUUUAGAAUUUUUAAAAGCACAAAAUAAGCAUUUAGUGCAAUUCAUAAACACCCCAGAUAUUGAGUUCACCCAGGAAUAAUCUCUCAGGAAAUUCCUCCUGUAUUAUCUACAUCCUCAGGAAAGUGUUCAACUAUCUCUUCUUGGCUAUGUAUUUUAAACCCAUCUUCAACUAUUCCAGGGUUUAUAGUCCCCAAACCCAGUCCCCAAAUCCUGUUCUUUUCUGAAAUGUCUCCUACCUUCUUGCUUCUCAUGGCCACAGCUGGUUGGUGAAUUCCAACUUUCCUACAAAAUGGUGGCGUCCGUGACCUCUUAUCCCUCCUUUCCAUUCAUGGUUUUCUGACAGUAUGAUGUUCAUUUCAUUGUCCCUCCAAGGGACAAUAGCAAACAACAAGUUUGUCUAUACAUUAGUCUAAAUGUCUAGUUUAAUUAGUCUAAUUACGCAAAGAAUUUAGUUGCUGUUACAUUUCUAUUAUUCUGGUAAACACUUGAAACAUGCUUGCUGACAUCAUGGAUAAGCUUCUGUAGCAGGUAGAGCAAAAGCCGAUCUUUUUUUUCUAAGAUGAGAGCCACUGUAAAGAAAUCCAUGGUUAACACACUGUGGAUAGGUAACUUUUCAUUUCUCUCACAGGUAUAAAACACACGGAAGCAUUUUUUGUGAGUUUGGCUUGAUUCAUGUGAAUCUGUGACACUAAAACGCAUACUCUUCUGGUUAUGAAACAGCACAAUACAGUUCACGGUUCACCCAUUUAUCCAACAAACAUUUGUAGAAAACACAAAACAUGUAGCAAAACUUUGAUGAAUAGAUUUAGUCUCUAUUCUGUCAAAACUUCAGUGCAUUGGAGAUACACUGACAAAUAAUUGCACACUCAUUAGGUAAAUAAAACAACUCAGGUAUAUGCAAAGUACUUCAGUGCACUGAAACAGAGUCUCUGUAGAGGGAAGGUCUUUUGAUAAUGUACUGAUUUUAUAUGAACUUUGCAUCAUUAUUUUCACUUCCAGCCUUCUGCAUACCGCAACCCCAGGUACCAGCUGGAGUCUCCUGUCUCCUGGACAUCCCUUUGGGCCAAGAACUAAAAAAUCAGUGUAGAAGUAAUUGCUUGAAUAUCCAUUUCCCCUAAGCCUUGGUUUCUUUGCCUCUCCAUGGAGGUUACAAGACGAUUACGCGUGAACACAAACAGAAGGUACAUACUGACAGGAAACAAAAGCACGUUAAACCAUGGAGAUUUCCUUGUACAUAAACCUGCCAUUUGUUAAGUGGUUGCUCCUCGAAUCCGAAGGGAAGCUGGCAAAAACUCGACGCAAACCUUCUCCAACAGCACUGGGGAAGAAUAAGUGAGGGAAAUGCCUUUUUAAAAAGGGUAUACAGUUGGUAUAAAGAUGUA